This is a non-coding RNA of Pelobates cultripes (western spadefoot toad), 228 nucleotides long. NCBI's taxonomy places the organism in Eukaryota, Metazoa, Chordata, Amphibia, Anura, Pelobatidae. The record is from the annotation of a GenBank genome assembly.
AUUAAAAUGCAAAUACACCACUAAAUGCACACACACAAAAACUGCAUACAAAACCAUGAUUACAUUCAAAUGCACAAACACUGCUCAUAUAUACAACCCUGUGAAGAUGGGCAAAUGGUAGAUGCCCAGCUGGCAUUGCAUUGUGGGAGUUGUAUUUAAUGGUUUUGGUUAAAUAACUCACAAUGGUUUCCCAAAAAGUCAAAAUGGCAGAGUGUGAGCCUUUCAAAC